GCAACCUGCCCCGAAGACCGGGAUAACACCGGGAAACCAGUGCUAAUACCGGAUACCCCCACGAGCCCACAUGGGCAUGUGAGGAAAGGAUUCCGCUUCGGGAGGGGCUCGCGGCCUAUCAGCUUGUUGGUGGGGUAACGGCCUACCAAGGCAACGACGGGUAGCUGGUCUGAGAGGACGAUCAGCCACACUGGGACUGAGACACGGCCCAGACUCCUACGGGAGGCAGCAGUAGGGAAUCUUGCGCAAUGGGCGAAAGCCUGACGCAGCAACGCCGCGUGGGGGAUGAAGGCCUUCGGGUUGUAAACUCCUUUCAGUGGGAACGAAACUGACGGUACCCACAGAAGAAGCCC
RNAcentral lists this ribosomal RNA (353 nucleotides) under uncultured actinobacterium WB032. Its description in RNAcentral is "bacterial SSU rRNA". It matches the Rfam family "Bacterial small subunit ribosomal RNA", at positions 121 to 493 of the family's 1533-position model. Lineage: Bacteria; Bacillati; Actinomycetota; Actinomycetes. The record is from RNAcentral.